RNAcentral lists this long non-coding RNA (1313 nucleotides) under Bemisia tabaci. RNAcentral's name for it is "lncRNA ENSSSA1UGG006899". The record is from RNAcentral. Lineage: Eukaryota; Metazoa; Arthropoda; Insecta; Hemiptera; Aleyrodidae.
AAAUCCCAUGAAGUAUACAUAAAUCGGUCAAUCGUUAGAUUCGAGCCUAGCUGAAGAAUUAUCCAGGAGUUUAGCUUAAAAAAUAGAAAGAAUCAAUUUUUGAGGCGGUGACCCUUACUCUCAACACCCAACCAAAUGAAAUGGCUGAUUUUUGUCGUCAAAAACAUGAUGACCCAUCGGGCUCCAUAUUUCAAAGAAAAUACAAAAAAUACUGUCCAUUCUCCAUUCAGAGCUAAGUUUUUUGCUUCAAGCUGGAUAUUUUGUAUAUUUUCUGUUGUCCAAACGAAUAAAAUGCACAGUCAGCUCUAAUAGACGAUUUUAGUGUGACGUCACAUCUCGUUAUAAUUUCGAUACCUCGAAAGUCGAAACGUGCCCCAACAAACGAACAUGGAGGAAUCUGCGGGAUAUAGGCAGGGGGGGGGGGGGGUAGGGGUAUUCGCUCGAUGACUGUGUAUGAUAUUACGAGUAUAUUUUACAAUCAAUUCUUGUGAUUGUGAUCUCAAACGUUUUGGUAAAUGAGUAGCUUUCAUUUUUUAAAGUCCCAUGGAUUAAUUGUUUGGUUUCGGGCUAGUUUUGGCAUUAUUUCGUCAUUUGUUCAUUUUGGAGGUUAUGUUUGUUUGUUAGGGCACAUUUCGACUUUCGAGAUAUCGAACCACCACUAUCGCUCCGUGACGUCACCACUAAAAUCGUCUAUUGUAUUUCCAGAUUGGAGAUUGGAGUCUCAAUUUUUAGUGCGCACUGGGACACGAUGUAACAGAAGAGGCAAGAAUGCAAUAAUGACUACGAAAAAUGCGCAGGCUGAACAGGCUGAAAAGAGGCUCCCGACUGCGAAAAACGUAUUCUUGGCUUUGCGAGGCGGCUGUCACGCUUACGGUGCUGUCAUUGCGUCGCUUCAAUUCCCCUCCUGUUCGGAGGAAUAAAUAACGAAGGGAAUUUCCAUGGAUUGCACCUUUUUUCUUCAAUCUAAUGAUCGAGCCCCCUUUCGUUUGAAAAUUAAACUGCAUAGAUCAUCCUCAACUGGGGCGUCAUGUGAGAGACAGUUACAUUUUGUUCGGAAUUUUGACUUUUGGAGCCACUAUGAUCUAUACGCUGCAAUAGAAUUGCGCGAAUGCCCUCUUUUUUACCUUUUUGGAGAUGCAUAGGAUUGCGCGAAUUUUUCUGGUACUAACAACUCACAUGUUUACGCAAAUAUUCAAUAUUCAACGAGGAAGCGUUAAUCCGGCAACCUUGGUAGUUUGUGAUAAAUAACUACAUCGCGAAGAACUGUCCAUUCCCUCCUCACUUACUGGCAUGUCUAAUGCAUUAUCUUAACU